This 502-nucleotide long non-coding RNA is filed under the name Mus spicilegus (steppe mouse). Its description in RNAcentral is "lncRNA (ENSMSIG00000002600.1)". The record is from RNAcentral. Lineage: Eukaryota; Metazoa; Chordata; Mammalia; Rodentia; Muridae.
CCCCCUUCCCCAGUCCCCUAGGUUAUUCUGAUGAUGUCAUGGCGGUAACCAAGGCGACAUACUGUGACAUCACACCUCAAAGAGUACCCCUGACCUUGGCCUGGAAUUCAAAGGAAAAUCAGCCCAUAAACUUCUAAAGCUAGCAGGAGAUAAGGAGGCCUGACAGAUCACACCAGCCAACAGAACUCCUGUCCAGGGAAGCUGGGAUCAGUUCUUAGAGACUGAUCAGCACUGGGUGUCUGAGGAACAAUCAGGAGCAGGAGCGCUGGUGAUAGAUUAGUGAUGUCUGCGGCGCUGGUGAUAGAUUAGUGAUGUCUGCCACAGAUGUGGUUUGAAAGAAUGGGCAGAUGGGUGGAGAUGGAGCAGACUAAAGCAGGCACAAGCAAGAAGAAGAACAACACAGGGAAAUGGGAGAGCCUCCGCCAUCGCCAUUCCUCCUCCCCCAUCCUAUCCCAGCUGCUUGGAGUCCAGGCCAAGGUGAAGGGCAUGAGACUCUGCAGGC